This is a long non-coding RNA of Aedes aegypti (yellow fever mosquito), 677 nucleotides long. RefSeq lists it as uncharacterized. The transcript has 4 exons. NCBI's taxonomy places the organism in Eukaryota, Metazoa, Arthropoda, Insecta, Diptera, Culicidae. The record is from RefSeq and is a predicted model, not a curated record.
CGGGAAAAAAUCUGAUCCCAUUAUCAUGAUUUACGAAUCAUGAAAAUUAUAAAUUGCUCUUGGGACGAAAUCAUGAUUCAGACUCAUGAUUUUUGAAGCUGAGCUACCACUAUCAUGAUUCAGAGCAACCAUUUUCAUGAGCUCCAAAUCAUGACCAUGAAAAGCGUUACGCACACGGUGCACCUGUCAAAACGUGUUUAGCAAAGCUUGUGCAAAGCAUAGUUGGCUGCGCAUUCACGGAAAAGUUGCCCUUUUUUUAAAAAAAAAGUUCACUUUUAUUGCCGGUUUCCUGCGCCGCUGUUGCUCUACUGUCGUUCCUGCUCUACUAUUCCGUUCCUGCUCCGUUAAUAUCGAGCUAUUCCGGCUCUGCAGAACUACCGCCGUUUCAUUCUGUUCCUUUCCUGCCGUGGCUGUUGCCCGUUCCGGCUCCUGUGUACCCGUUCCGGCUCCGCAUUGAGGGAAAAUUCUUCCGGCUCCGCUCUACUAACUACCGCCGUUUUAUUGUCCCAGUGCCACUGUCGCCAUUCCCGCCGCGGCUGUUGUCGUCCAAUAGGUGCAUCCGUUCCGGCUCCGCAUUGAGUGACCAGCUCCGCCCUACCAACUACCGCUCCCGAUUUUGUUGCCGUUCCGGACGUUUCGUUUUCAGCCUUGGCUGGUUCCACCCAGUAGGUGUUCCC